UACGUAGGGGGCAAGCGUUGUCCGGAUUUAUUGGGCGUAAAGAGCGUGUAGGCGGCUAGGUAGGUCCGUUGUGAAAACUCGAGGCUCAACCUCGAGACGUCGAUGGAAACCAUCUGGCUAGAGUCCGGAAGAGGAGAGUGGAAUUCCUGGUGUAGCGGUGAAAUGCGCAGAUAUCAGGAAGAACACCCGUGGCGAAGGCGGCAUCCUGGACCGACAUUGACGCUGAACGGCGAAAGCUAGGGGAGCAAACGGG
Molecule: ribosomal RNA, 253 nt
Filed under: uncultured bacterium
Lineage: Bacteria
Description: partial 16S ribosomal RNA
Rfam family: Bacterial small subunit ribosomal RNA
Source: RNAcentral